This 253-nucleotide ribosomal RNA is filed under the name uncultured bacterium. RNAcentral describes it as "partial 16S ribosomal RNA". It matches the Rfam family "Bacterial small subunit ribosomal RNA", at positions 524 to 776 of the family's 1533-position model. The record is from RNAcentral.
UACGUAGGGUGCAAGCGUUGUCCGGAAUUAUUGGGCGUAAAGAGCUUGUAGGCGGUUUGUCGCGUCUGCUGUGAAAUUUCGGGGCUCAACCCCGAACUUGCAGUGGGUACGGGCAGACUAGAGUGUGGUAGGGGAGACUGGAAUUCCUGGUGUAGCGGUGAAAUGCGCAGAUAUCAGGAGGAACACCGAUGGCGAAGGCAGGUCUCUGGGCCGAUACUGACGCUGAGGAGCGAAAGCAUGGGUAGCGAACAGG